Molecule: ribosomal RNA, 465 nt
Filed under: uncultured Klebsiella sp.
Lineage: Bacteria; Pseudomonadati; Pseudomonadota; Gammaproteobacteria; Enterobacterales; Enterobacteriaceae
Description: bacterial SSU rRNA
Rfam family: Bacterial small subunit ribosomal RNA
Source: RNAcentral
CCUACGGGUGGCAGCAGUGGGGAAUAUUGCACAAUGGGCGCAAGCCUGAUGCAGCCAUGCCGCGUGUGUGAAGAAGGCCUUCGGGUUGUAAAGCACUUUCAGCGGGGAGGAAGGCGUUAAGGUUAAUAACCUUGUCGAUUGACGUUACCCGCCGAAGAAGCACCGGCUAACUCCGUGCCAGCAGCCGCGGUAAUACGGAGGGUGCAAGCGUUAAUCGGAAUUACUGGGCGUAAAGCGCACGCAGGCGGUCUGUCAAGUCGGAUGUGGAAUCCCCGGGCUCAACCUGGGAACUGCAUUCGAAACUGGCAGGCUAGAGUCUUGUAGAGGGGGGUAGAAUUCCAGGUGUAGCGGUGAAAUGCGUAGAGAUCUGGAGGAAUACCGGUGGCGAAGGCGGCCCCCUGGACAAAGACUGACGCUCAGGUGCGAAAGCGUGGGGAGCAAACAGGAUUAGAUACCCCGGUAGUC